RNAcentral lists this ribosomal RNA (468 nucleotides) under uncultured bacterium. Its description in RNAcentral is "partial 16S ribosomal RNA". It matches the Rfam family "Bacterial small subunit ribosomal RNA", at positions 28 to 507 of the family's 1533-position model. The record is from RNAcentral.
GACGAACGCUGGCGGCGUGCUUAACACAUGCAAGUCGAACGGAAAGGCCCUGCUUUUGUGGGGUGCUCGAGUGGCGAACGGGUGAGUGACACGUGAGUAUCCUGCCCUUGACUUUGGGAUAACUUCAGGAGACUGGGGCUAAUACCGGAUAGGAGCUCCUGCUGCAUGGUGGGGGUUGGAAAGAUUCGGCGGUGGGGGCUGGACUGGCGGCUUAUGCGCUUGUUGGGGGGGUAGUGGCUUACCAAGGCUUUGACGGGUACCCGGCCUGGGAGGGGUGCCGGCCACAUUGCGACUGCGAUACGGCCCAGACUCCAACCGUACGCAGCGGUGGGGAAUAUUGCACAGCGGGCGGAAGCCUGAUGUGACGACGCCGCGAGCGGGAAGACGGGCUGCGGGUUGUAAACCGCUGUGGAAUGAGACGAGGAGGUAGUGACGGUAACUGGUAAAGAAGCACCGGCUAACUACGUG